GGUUUCCGUAGGUGAACCUGCGGAAGGAUCAUUACAUGAAAUGGGGCUUGCUCCAUUUAGGAGGGGCUGAACGCCAGCUUUUUGCUUCAGCAAGUAGGCCCUCUUACCAUCCUUGUCUUUUGAGUACCCAUGUUUCCUCGGUGGGCUAGCCCACCAGCUGGACAUUACCAUAACUCUUUUAAUUUUCAAUCAGCGUCAGUAAAUAAUGAAAAUAAUUACAACUUUCAACAACGGAUCUCUUGGUUCUGGCAUCGAUGAAGAACGCAGCGAAAUGCGAUAAGUAGUGUGAAUUGCAGAAUUCAGUGAAUCAUCGAAUCUUUGAACGCACAUUGCGCCCCUUGGUAUUCCAUGGGGCAUGCCUGUUCGAGCGUCAUUUGUAACUUCAAGCUUUGCUUGGUGUUGGGUGCUUGUCUCAUUGUUGACUCGCCUUAAAUGAAUUGGCAGCCCAUAAUUUGGCUUGGAAAUGCAGCACAAUUUGCAAUUCCAGCUUAUAUUACAGGCAACCAGAAAGAAACAUCACGCUUGACCUCGGAUCAGGUAGGGAUACCCGCUGAACUUAAGCAU
This 564-nucleotide ribosomal RNA is filed under the name fungal sp. 54856. RNAcentral describes it as "eukaryotic LSU rRNA". The stretch from base 220 to 373 matches the Rfam family "5.8S ribosomal RNA". RNAcentral also lists the same sequence under 4 other names. The record is from RNAcentral. Lineage: Eukaryota; Fungi.